This 310-nucleotide unclassified non-coding RNA is filed under the name uncultured fungus. Its description in RNAcentral is "partial contains small subunit ribosomal RNA, internal transcribed spacer 1, and 5.8S ribosomal RNA". The stretch from base 1 to 73 matches the Rfam family "Eukaryotic small subunit ribosomal RNA", at positions 1759 to 1831 of the family's 1831-position model. The record is from RNAcentral. Lineage: Eukaryota; Fungi.
UCAAACUUGGUCAUUUAGAGGAAGUAAAAGUCGUAACAAGGUCUCCGUUGGUGAACCAGCGGAGGGAUCAUUACAGGGUCUAACGACUGCCCAAACCACACCGUGAACCUUUUUUACAAGUUAAAUGCUUUGGCAGGUCGCCCGCUGGGGGGGCCCAGGCCGCGGUUUUACUCGCGGUGGCCUGCCGAAGGCAUGCAAAUCAAAAAUUCAUAGAACACAUCUCUGAGAAACAUCAUUUCCCUCGGGAAAAAAAAUUAUCACAACUCAUAACAAUGGAUCUCUUGGCUCUGGCAUCGAUGAAGAACGCAGC